AUAUAUAUGUUCAAAUUUAAACAAACACUGAUUCGCCUCGUUUUACUACUUCACGUCAAACAAAAACGCCCGGUCCUUUUUGUUACAAACUAGUAGAGAGUUUGUUGACCAAUCAUAAUGCAGUGCCUGUGGUCUGGCGAGACCUUCGGAACACGAUAAAAUUUGUCUAUGACGUUUUCCGUCAUGUGAUACAACCACAACAUUGUUGGAAUCGGCUCCCACAACAUAAACAUUUCCAUUGUUGUCUACGGAGACACCUUGAGGGCAUCUUAAAACGUUUUCCUCUUUGAAUUCCCAUUGUGUCGUCCCUUGAAAAUCACUGCAUGUAACUGUGUUGUUAUCA
This 343-nucleotide long non-coding RNA is filed under the name Mytilus galloprovincialis (Mediterranean mussel). Lineage: Eukaryota; Metazoa; Mollusca; Bivalvia; Mytilida; Mytilidae. The record is from RNAcentral.